Molecule: ribosomal RNA, 442 nt
Filed under: uncultured Alphaproteobacteria bacterium
Lineage: Bacteria; Pseudomonadati; Pseudomonadota; Alphaproteobacteria
Description: bacterial SSU rRNA
Rfam family: Bacterial small subunit ribosomal RNA
Source: RNAcentral
UUCCUACGGGGGGCUGCAGUGGGGAAUAUUGGACAAUGGGGGAAACCCUGAUCCAGCCAUGCCGCGUGAAUGAUGAAGGCCUUCGGGUUGUAAAGUUCUUUUGGUGGGGACGAUGAUGACGGUACCCACAGAAUAAGCUCCGGCUAACUUCGUGCCAGCAGCCGCGGUAAUACGAAGGGAGCUAGCGUUGUUCGGAAUUACUGGGCGUAAAGGGCGCGUAGGCGGUUUGGUCAGUCAGAUGUGAAAGCCCUGGGCUUAACCCGGGAACUGCGUUUGAUACUGCCAAGCUUGAAUUCGGGAGAGGUGAGUGGAAUUCCCAGUGUAGAGGUGAAAUUCGUAGAGAUUGGGAAGAACACUAGUGGCGAAGGCGGCUCACUGGACCGACAUUGACGCUGAGGCGCGAAAGCGUGGGGAGCAAACAGGAUUAGAUACCCGGGUAGUC